GGGCGAUUAGCUCAGUUGGCUAGAGUGCCAGCAUGACACGCUGGAGGUCGCAGGUUCGAGCCCUGCAUCGCCCA
Molecule: transfer RNA, 74 nt
Organism: Isosphaera pallida ATCC 43644
Lineage: Bacteria; Pseudomonadati; Planctomycetota; Planctomycetia; Isosphaerales; Isosphaeraceae
Rfam family: tRNA
About the family: Transfer RNA (tRNA) molecules are approximately 80 nucleotides in length.
Source: Rfam